Molecule: unclassified non-coding RNA, 27 nt
Filed under: Mus musculus (house mouse)
Lineage: Eukaryota; Metazoa; Chordata; Mammalia; Rodentia; Muridae
Description: oocyte_clustered_small_RNA5122
Source: RNAcentral
UGCCGAUUUCCUAUGCAGCAACGAGGC